RNAcentral lists this ribosomal RNA (623 nucleotides) under Glaesserella parasuis. RNAcentral describes it as "bacterial SSU rRNA". It matches the Rfam family "Bacterial small subunit ribosomal RNA", at positions 216 to 831 of the family's 1533-position model. Lineage: Bacteria; Pseudomonadati; Pseudomonadota; Gammaproteobacteria; Pasteurellales; Pasteurellaceae. The record is from RNAcentral.
UGCCAUAAGAUGAGCCCAAGUGGGAUUAGGUAGUUGGUGGGGUAAAGGCCUACCAAGCCGACGAUCUCUAGCUGGUCUGAGAGGAUGACCAGCCACACUGGAACUGAGACACGGUCCAGACUCCUACGGGAGGCAGCAGUGGGGAAUAUUGCACAAUGGGGGGAACCCUGAUGCAGCCAUGCCGCGUGAAUGAAGAAGGCCUUCGGGUUGUAAAGUUCUUUCGGUGAUGAGGAAGGGUGAUGUUUUAAUAGAGCAUUACAUUGACGUUAGUCACAGAAGAAGCACCGGCUAACUCCGUGCCAGCAGCCGCGGUAAUACGGAGGGUGCGAGCGUUAAUCGGAAUGACUGGGCGUAAAGGGCACGCAGGCGGUGACUUAAGUGAGAUGUGAAAGCCCCGAGCUUAACUUGGGAAUUGCAUUUCAUACUGGGUGGCUAGAGUAUUUUAGGGAGGGGUAGAAUUCCACGUGUAGCGGUGAAAUGCGUAGAGAUGUGGAGGAAUACCGAAGGCGAAGGCAGCCCCUUGGGAAAAUACUGACGCUCAUGUGCGAAAGCGUGGGGAGCAAACAGGAUUAGAUACCCUGGUAGUCCACGCUGUAAACGCUGUCGAUUUGGGGAUUGGGCUU